This 30-nucleotide non-coding RNA is filed under the name Rattus norvegicus (Norway rat). The record is from RNAcentral. Lineage: Eukaryota; Metazoa; Chordata; Mammalia; Rodentia; Muridae.
UAUGAAAUUCGUUCCUUUCAUUUUUAAUUU